ACACUGGCGGUUCAGUGGUAGAAUUCUUGCCUUCCGUGUAAGAGACUCGGGUUUGUCUCCCAGCCAAUGUA
RNAcentral lists this transfer RNA (71 nucleotides) under Loxodonta africana (African savanna elephant). It matches the Rfam family "tRNA". Rfam says of the family: Transfer RNA (tRNA) molecules are approximately 80 nucleotides in length. Lineage: Eukaryota; Metazoa; Chordata; Mammalia; Proboscidea; Elephantidae. The record is from Rfam by way of RNAcentral.